GAUGAACGCUAGCGAUAGGCCUAACACAUGCAAGUCGAGGGGCAUCACAUGAAGUAGCAAUACGGAUGGUGGCGACCGGCGCACGGGUGAGUAACACGUAUGCAACCUGCCUUCAACAAGGGGAUAACCCGUUGAAAGACGGACUAAUACCCUAUAACACAGGGGUCCCGCAUGGGAAUAUUUGUUAAAGGACAACCGGUUGAAGAUGGGCAUGCGUUCCAUUAGCUAGUUGGCGGGGUAACGGCCCACCAAGGCAACGAUGGAUAGGGGAACUGAGAGGUUUAUCCCCCACACUGGUACUGAGACACGGACCAGACUCCUACGGGAGGCAGCAGUGAGGAAUAUUGGUCAAUGGACGGAAGUCUGAACCAGCCAUUCCGCGUGCAGGAAGAAGGUCCUAUGGACUGUAAACUGCUUUUAGCAGAGAAGAAACGCCUUCAUUUAUGAGGGUCUGACGGUAUCUGCGGAAUAAGCACCGGCUAACUCCGUGCCAGCAGCCGAC
This 502-nucleotide ribosomal RNA is filed under the name uncultured bacterium. RNAcentral's name for it is "bacterial SSU rRNA". It matches the Rfam family "Bacterial small subunit ribosomal RNA", at positions 28 to 518 of the family's 1533-position model. The record is from RNAcentral.